This 399-nucleotide RNase P RNA is filed under the name Rhizobium sp. AAP43. RNAcentral describes it as "bacterial RNase P". It matches the Rfam family "Bacterial RNase P class A". From Rfam's summary of the family: Ribonuclease P (RNase P) is a ubiquitous endoribonuclease, found in archaea, bacteria and eukarya as well as chloroplasts and mitochondria. Its best characterised activity is the generation of mature 5'-ends of tRNAs by cleaving the 5'-leader elements of precursor-tRNAs. Cellular RNase Ps are ribonucleoproteins. The record is from RNAcentral. Lineage: Bacteria; Pseudomonadati; Pseudomonadota; Alphaproteobacteria; Hyphomicrobiales; Rhizobiaceae.
CCAGUCGGCCGGGCAGCCGCGCUUUACCAAUGCCGAAAGGCGGUAAGGGGAGGAAAGUCCGGGCUCCACGGAAACACGGUGCCGGAUAACGUCCGGCGAGGGCGACCUCAGGGAAAGUGCCGCAGAAAGUAAACCGCCCCGCUUGCGGGGUAAGGGUGAAAGGGUGGGGUAAGAGCCCACCGCGUCGCUGGUGACAGGGAUGGCAAGGUAAACCCCACCGGGAGCAAGACCGAAUAGGGAUGACGCGGGCCGCACUCCGGUGUGGCCACAGCCUGUUUCCGGGCCAGUCAUCCGGGUGGGUUGCGUGAGGCAGCGUGUAAACGCUGUCCCAGAUGAAUGGCUGCCACGUUCCGGGAAACCGGAGCCAUACAGAACCCGGCUUACAGGCCGACUGGCAAU